GUGAAGAACGCAGCGAAAUGCGAUAAGUAAUGUGAAUUGCAGAAUUCAGUGAAUCAUCGAAUCUUUGAACGCACCUUGCGCCCUUUGGCCAUUCCGAAGGGCAUGCCUGUUUGAGUAUCAUGAACACCUCAACUCUUCAUGGUUUUCCAUGAUGAGCUUGGACUUUGGGGGUCUUGCUGGCCUGUGGGUCGGCUCCUCUCAAAUGAAUCAGCUUGCCGUUUUUUGGUGGGCAUCACAGGUGUGAUAACUAUCUACGCUUGUGGUUUUCCACCAGGGUAACCUUCAGCAGUGGAGGUUCACUGGAGCUUACAAAUGUCUCUCCUCUGUGAGGACAGCCCUUUGAAUGUUUGAUCUCAAAUCAGGUAGGACUACCCGCUGAACUUAAGCAUAUCAAUAAGCGGAGGA
This 405-nucleotide unclassified non-coding RNA is filed under the name soil metagenome. RNAcentral's name for it is "partial contains 5.8S ribosomal RNA, internal transcribed spacer 2, and large subunit ribosomal RNA". The stretch from base 2 to 120 matches the Rfam family "5.8S ribosomal RNA", at positions 37 to 154 of the family's 154-position model. The record is from RNAcentral.